AUUGAACGCUGGCGGCAGGCUUAACACAUGCAAGUCGAGCGGGGUGAUGGUGCUUGCACUAUCACUUAGCGGCGGACGGGUGAGUAAUGCUUAGGAAUCUGCCUAUUAGUGGGGGACAACAUCUCGAAAGGGAUGCUAAUACCGCAUACGUCCUACGGGAGAAAGCAGGGGAUCACUUGUGACCUUGCGCUAAUAGAUGAGCCUAAGUCGGAUUAGCGAGUUGGUGGGGUAAAGGCCUACCAAGGCGACGAUCUGUAGCGGGUCUGAGAGGAGGAUCCGGCACACUGGGACUGAGAAACGGCCCAGACUCCUACGGGAGGCAGCAGUGGGGAAUAUUGGACAAUGGGGGGAACCCUGAUCCAGCCAUGCCGGGUGUGUGAAGAAGGCCUUAUGGUUGUAAAGCACUUUAAGCGAGGAGGAGGCUACUUUAGUUAAUACCUAGAGAUAGUGGACGUUACUCGCAGAAUAAGCACCGGCUAACUCUGUGCCAGCAGCCGCCGUAA
This 503-nucleotide ribosomal RNA is filed under the name uncultured bacterium. RNAcentral describes it as "partial 16S ribosomal RNA". It matches the Rfam family "Bacterial small subunit ribosomal RNA", at positions 30 to 523 of the family's 1533-position model. The record is from RNAcentral.